RNAcentral lists this ribosomal RNA (519 nucleotides) under uncultured bacterium. Its description in RNAcentral is "bacterial SSU rRNA". It matches the Rfam family "Bacterial small subunit ribosomal RNA", at positions 26 to 518 of the family's 1533-position model. The record is from RNAcentral.
AGGACGAACGCUGGCGGCGUGCCUAAUACAUGCAAGUCGAACGGUCUUUCUAUGGAAGCUUGCUUCCACUGAGAAGAUAGUGGCGAACGGGUGAGUAACACGUGGGUAACCUGCCCAUAAGAGGGGGAUAACAUCCGGAAACGGGUGCUAAUACCGCAUAGUUUUCUUGAUCGCAUGAUCGGGAAAGGAAAGACGGCCUUUGUGCUGUCGCUUAUGGAUGGACCCGCGGCGUAUUAGUUAGUUGGUGAGGUAACGGCUCACCAAGACGAUGAUACGUAGCCGACCUGAGAGGGUGAUCGGCCACAUUGGGACUGAGACACGGCCCAAACUCCUACGGGAGGCAGCAGUAGGGAAUCUUCCGCAAUGGACGAAAGUCUGACGGAGCAACGCCGCGUGAGUGAAAGAAGGUUUUCGGAUCGUAAAACUCUGUUGUCAGAGAAGAACAAGUUGGAGAGUAACUGCUCCAGCCUUGACGGUAUCUGACCAGAAAGCCACGGCUAAUUACGUGCCAGCCGCGGC